GCGGCGUGCUUAACACAUGCAAGUCCGAACGGUGGAAGCCCUUUUUUGGGUGGAUGAGUGGCGAACGGGUGGAGUAACACGUGAGUAACCUGCCCCCUUCUUCUGGAUAACCUCAUGAAAGUGGGGCUAAUACGGGAUAUUCUGGUCUGGUCGCAUGGCUGGGCUGGGAAAGAUGCGCCUUUUGGGUGUUUUUGGUGGGGGAUGGGCUCGCGGCCUAUCAGCUUGUUGGUCGGGGUGAUGGCCUACCAAGGCGGUGACGGGUAGCCGGCCUUGAGAGGGUUGGACCGGCCACACUGGGGACUGAAGACACGGCCCAGACUCCUACGGGAGGCAGGCAGGUGGGGGAAUAUUGCACAAUGGGGCGCAAGCCUGAUGCAGGCGACGCCGCGUGAGGGAUGGAGGCCUUCGGGUUGUGAACCUCUUUCGCCAGUGAAGCAGGCCUGCUCCUGUUGUGGGUGGGUUGACCGGUAGCUUGGAUAAGAAGCGCCCGGCUAACUACGUGCCAGCAGCCCGUCGGUAAUACCUAAGGGCCGCGCAGCGUUUGUCUCCGGAAUUAUUCGGGCGUAAAGGAGCUCGUAAGGCCGGCUUCGGUCGCCGUCUUGUCGUGAAAUCCUCUGGCUUAACUGGGGGCUUGCCGGUGGGUACGGGCCGGCUUGAGUGCGGUAGGGGAGACUGGAAUUCCUGGUGUAGCCGGUGGAAUGCGCAGAUAUCAAGGAGGAACACCGGUGGCGAAGGCCGGUCUCUGGGCCCUUACUCGACGCUGAGGAGCGAAAGCGUAGGGGAGCGAACAGGAUUAGAUACCCUGGUAGUCCACGCCAUAAACGUUGGGCACUAGGGUGUGGGGGGCCUUUUCCGGGUUCUUCCGCGCCGUAGCUAACGCAUUAAGUGCCCCGCCUGGGGAGUACGGCCGCAAGGCUAAAACUCAAAGGAAUUGACGGGGGCCCGCACAAGCGGCGGAGCAUGCGGAUUAAUUCCAUGCAACGCGAAGAACCUUACCAAGGCUUGACAUGAGGGCGAUCGCCUCGGAGACGGGGCUUCCUUUUUGGCGCUCUUACAGGUUGGGCAUUGGUUGUCGUCAGCUCGUGUCCGUGAAGAUGUUGGGUUAAGUCCCGCAACGAGCGCAAC
This 1125-nucleotide ribosomal RNA is filed under the name Actinomyces bowdenii. RNAcentral's name for it is "bacterial SSU rRNA". It matches the Rfam family "Bacterial small subunit ribosomal RNA", at positions 39 to 1102 of the family's 1533-position model. The record is from RNAcentral. Lineage: Bacteria; Bacillati; Actinomycetota; Actinomycetes; Actinomycetales; Actinomycetaceae.